Nicotiana attenuata is the source of this 377-nucleotide long non-coding RNA. RefSeq lists it as uncharacterized. The record is from RefSeq and is a predicted model, not a curated record. The transcript has 2 exons. NCBI's taxonomy places the organism in Eukaryota, Viridiplantae, Streptophyta, Magnoliopsida, Solanales, Solanaceae.
CUCCAACCGAUUCAAAUCUUCAUGUUGCUACCAAAAAUUCAAGAAACAUACGGCUUGCAAAAUAUGGCUACUCAAAGUGAUUUAGUUAAUGAUAUAAUAAUUUCGCAAAUGCAAUGAAAGUUGAAAGUUCGGAUUGUUCGUCUGUGAAAAAUACCAGAUCGUUACAAUUGAGAUGCUACUUUCUCGAUUGAAUCAGUUCUGCAAGAUGAAAAGGAUCCCGACUUCAAUACUAUUGAAGGCGUAGAUGAAGCGAUGGAAUGCGAGGUAAAUACAUCGCUUACUUUUAAUUUGUCCUUAUGAUGACACUUAUUUUAUUUAUACAUGGAUAGCUAUAGUUGAUAAUAAGAUGCUAAUCUUGGAGCACUCAUGUUCUUAUC